UGGGGAAUAUUGGACAAUGGACCAAGAGUCUGAUCCAGCAAUUCUGUGUGCACGAUGAAGUUUUUCGGAAUGUAAAGUGCUUUCAGUUGGGAAGAAAGAAAUGACGGUACCAACAGAAGAAGUGACGGCUAAAUACGUGCCAGCAGCCGCGGUAAUACGUAUGUCACAAGCGUUAUCCGGAUUUAUUGGGCGUAAAGCGCGUCUAGGUGGUUAUGUAAGUCUGAUGUGAAAAUGCAGGGCUCAACUCUGUAUUGCGUUGGAAACUGUAUAACUAGAGUACUGGAGAGGUAAGCGGAACUACAAGUGUAGAGGUGAAAUUCGUAGAUAUUUGUAGGAAUGCCGAUGGGGAAGCCAGCUUACUGGACAGAUACUGACGCUGAAGCGCGAAAGCGUGGGUAGCAAACAGGAUUAGAUACCCUGGUAGUCCAUGCCGUAAACGAUGAUUACUAGGUGUUGGGGGUCGAACCUCAGCGCCCAAGCAAACGCGAUAAGUAAUCCGCCUGGGGAGUACGUACGCAAGUAUG
Molecule: ribosomal RNA, 524 nt
Filed under: uncultured bacterium
Lineage: Bacteria
Description: bacterial SSU rRNA
Rfam family: Bacterial small subunit ribosomal RNA
Source: RNAcentral